RNAcentral lists this long non-coding RNA (592 nucleotides) under Lathyrus oleraceus (garden pea). Its description in RNAcentral is "Pisum sativum (pea) long non-coding RNA (PSAT_LNC023652)". The record is from RNAcentral. Lineage: Eukaryota; Viridiplantae; Streptophyta; Magnoliopsida; Fabales; Fabaceae.
UUAAAUCACAUUGUUAUUACCUUGUUUACGUUUUUGCAAUUCCCGUGGAGACUAAAUAUUUUAUUACUUCGACAAGACUAGUGCACUUGCUAGUUUAGUCCAUCAAGUUUUUUGCGCCUUUGGCGGAGAUUGUUGAUAAUUUCAACAACGCAAUAGUUGUGCGAAAUUUUGAAUUUUGAAUUAUAAUUUCAUUUUUGUUAGUUUUUUUAGUUUUCAAUUUUUAUUUUUUAUUUCCUACUUUUAUUCUGUUUGGUGCAGUGUUACUAAGGUAUUGUUUGUUUGUUAUGUGGGUUUGAGUUCAAUGUUUGAUACCUAUAGACCCAGAAAAUGAAAGAACAUUGCACGCGAUUCAUAGAAAAAAACAAGGAGCAUACAUGUCACGGAAGAAACGAAAUAAGAAAGAGAAUACAUGGAUAAUCUACCAUGAUAGACGCUAGGGGAUUAUUGUAGAAGGACUAACGCUGGACAUAUCUCUUUUGGGUUUCAACCGACUAACCCGGUGACUUUUGAAUUUAAGAAUUAUGUACUUUUAAGUUUGAGAGAUAACUUGUUCGAUGAUCAAGAUAUCAGAGACCAGUGGGAGCAUCUUGCU